GACGAACGCUGGCGGCGUGCUUAACACAUGCAAGUCGAACGGAAAGGCCUCUUUCGGGGGGUACUCGAGUGGCGAACGGGUGAGUAACACGUGAGUAACCUGCCCUUGACUUUGGGAUAACUUCAGGAAACUGGGGCUAAUACCGGAUAGGAGCUCCUGCUGCAUGGUGGGGGUUGGAAAGUUUCGGCGGUUGGGGAUGGACUCGCGGCUUAUCAGCUUGUUGGUGGGGUAGUGGCUUACCAAGGCUUUGACGAGUAGCCGGCCUGAGAGGGUGACCGGCCACAUUGGGACUGAGAUACGGCCCAGACUCCUACGGGAGGCAGCAGUGGGGAAUAUUGCACAAUGGGUGGAAGCCUGAUGCAGCAACGCCGGGUGCGGGAUGACGGCCUUCGGGUUGUAAACCGCUUUCGCUCAUGACGAAGCUUUGUGUGACGGUAGUGGGUAAAGAAGCACCGGCUAACUACGUG
Molecule: ribosomal RNA, 467 nt
Filed under: uncultured bacterium
Lineage: Bacteria
Description: partial 16S ribosomal RNA
Rfam family: Bacterial small subunit ribosomal RNA
Source: RNAcentral